GGGAAUAGGACCCAAGAGCCCAGACUUUCAGACUAAGCAUCGCAUCUUGAAUUUCAUACAUUCAAUAACCUGAAUAAAGAAAAGCAGCACCUGCUGCAACCCAGA
Molecule: long non-coding RNA, 105 nt
Organism: Chelonia mydas (Green sea turtle)
Lineage: Eukaryota; Metazoa; Chordata; Testudines; Cheloniidae
Exons: 4
Source: RefSeq, a predicted model, not a curated record